AGGGCCUCAUUUUCUUCUGUCACUGGAGCCAUCAUUUAUUUAGCAGCUUUGUUAAACAGAAAGGGGUCUGUCCUGCGUGUGCAGUCUUUGGAUUUAAAAUUAUGGAAAUUCUUCAGGCAGAAAAUGGGCACAUAUGGUUAUCACAGAAAAGCUGUUUUAAAGCCAGUUUUAAGGUAUUAUUAUGCCGCUACCUUCAAGAAGUAAUUUGCGUGCUGUUUAUUGGAGCUGUGAAUUUAAUCAUCUCAAUCCCACGCUAUUACAGGAUGACUAUAAGAAGAUGUAUUGACAUUUCUUUGGACACAUAAUUUUGCCUCCAUUGUGUGUUGUUUUGCCAGAAUACUGAAGGCAGUGUUUGUAUGAUGGCACAUCCAAAUAAAAAGCAGGUCCUCCUUUUGGGACAGUGAUCCAUUUAA
Homo sapiens (human) is the source of this 413-nucleotide long non-coding RNA. NCBI's taxonomy places the organism in Eukaryota, Metazoa, Chordata, Mammalia, Primates, Hominidae. The record is from Ensembl.